CGAGGCAUUCUAGCAUUUUACUUUAACGUUGCGCCGGAAUGGCUAUACAUACUUGUCUUGUGACUUAGCCUAUAUAUAUCUUGUGACGUAUAUAUGUCCGACCAAAUUUAAUUUAGUGGUGUUGGUUUUUGUCCGACCAAAUUCAAGUUAUGUCCGACCAAAAUUAAAAGUGAUCGGACAAAUGUCCUGUCAAGUCAAAUAUUUAUUUGCAGCCCUGUAGUAUUACUACAGA
Non-coding RNA from Paramuricea clavata, 232 nucleotides. The record is from the annotation of a GenBank genome assembly. NCBI's taxonomy places the organism in Eukaryota, Metazoa, Cnidaria, Anthozoa, Malacalcyonacea, Plexauridae.